This 357-nucleotide ribosomal RNA is filed under the name Clostridioides difficile. RNAcentral's name for it is "bacterial LSU rRNA". It matches the Rfam family "Bacterial large subunit ribosomal RNA", at positions 534 to 890 of the family's 2925-position model. Lineage: Bacteria; Bacillati; Bacillota; Clostridia; Peptostreptococcales; Peptostreptococcaceae. The record is from RNAcentral.
GGGAGUGAAAUAGAACCUGAAACCCUGCACUUACAAGCUGUGGAAGCACAUUUCUUGUGUGACCGCGUACUUUUUGUAGAACGGGCCAACGAGUUACGUUAAGUAGCAAGGUUAAGCACUUAAGGUGCGGAGCCGUAGCGAAAGCGAGUUUUAACUGAGCGUUCAGUUACUUGACGUAGACCCGAAACCGGGCGACCUACCCAUGGGCAGGAUGAAGCGAAAGUAAAAUGUCGUGGAGGUCCGAACCCACGAGCGUUGAAAAGCUCGGGGAUGACUUGUGGGUAGCGGUGAAAUUCCAAUCGAGCCCGGAGAUAGCUGGUUCUCCCCGAAAUAGCUUUAGGGCUAGCCUCAAGGUGA